GUGCCAGCCGCCGCGGUAAUACCGGCAGUUCGAGUGAUGGCCGAUUUUAUUGGGCCUAAAGCGUUCGUAGCUGGCCAGUCAAGUCUGUCGGGAAACCUGCUCGCUCAACGAGCAGCCGUCCGGCGGAAACUGAUUGGCUUGGGACCGGAAGACCUGAAGAGUACGUCCGGGGUAGGAGUGAAAUCCUGUAAUCCUGGACGGACUACCGAUGGCGAAAGCACUUCAGGAGCACGGAUCCGACAGUGAGGAACGAAAGCUGGGGUCUCGAACCGGAUUAGAAACCCGGGUAGUCC
This 293-nucleotide ribosomal RNA is filed under the name uncultured bacterium. Its description in RNAcentral is "partial 16S ribosomal RNA". It matches the Rfam family "Archaeal small subunit ribosomal RNA", at positions 455 to 747 of the family's 1478-position model. The record is from RNAcentral.